Molecule: small RNA, 134 nt
Filed under: Bermanella marisrubri
Lineage: Bacteria; Pseudomonadati; Pseudomonadota; Gammaproteobacteria; Oceanospirillales; Oceanospirillaceae
Also listed under: 1 other name
Description: Guanidine-I riboswitch aptamer
Rfam family: Guanidine-I riboswitch aptamer
About the family: This family represents a conserved RNA structure found upstream of the ykkC and yxkD genes in Bacillus subtilis and related genes in other bacteria. The function of this family is unclear although it has been suggested that it may function to switch on efflux pumps and detoxification systems in response to harmful environmental molecules. Nelson showed that this riboswitch senses and responds to guanidine and it was renamed Guanidine-I riboswitch.
Source: Rfam by way of RNAcentral
GAAAUAGAACGCUAGGGUUCCGAUCAGGCUCGCACAUAAUUGAAGAGAUAGCCUUGAUGACUGGUCCAAGAGCAUUCGACCUCCCCCUUUUCGUUAAGGCAUAGGUUACACGGCGGGACAAAAGCCCGGGAGAA